Long non-coding RNA from Harpia harpyja (harpy eagle), 561 nucleotides. RefSeq lists it as uncharacterized. Lineage: Eukaryota; Metazoa; Chordata; Aves; Accipitriformes; Accipitridae. The record is from RefSeq and is a predicted model, not a curated record. The transcript has 2 exons.
UAGAGCUCAGUGUUGUCUCUUUUCUGUGUUUCCAUCCAGAAGUCUUGGUUUGCCUUGCUUACUGAGUAGGAAAGGCUACGGGGGGCUGGAGGGGAGCAAUUGUGACAAGUACUUUUCUUUUCCUAAUUGUAUUGCUAAAGGGAUAUGAAGUGGGGACACAACUGCAGGAUUGCACAACAGUGGUUCUUAAAAGAAAGCAGAGGACUAAAACUCACUCCUAAGGUCCUAAAGGUCACAGUCUGGAGAGUGGCUGCAUAAUGUCUCCGGUGUAACUUAGAUGCUGAGAUCAACGAGCCUCUGUGGAAACAGACAGAUAUAUCUGCAUAUAGACAAAUUGCAAGAUGAAAGUCCUAGACUCUCAGUAUUGCAAGGUGAUUGAUGGGCUGUGUCAAGACUUGACAAACAAACCAAGAAAACCUUGCAGCUUUGUGAACUUAAUAUCUAAGUGUAUGUAACUUAAAAACAUUAAAUGUUUGCAAAGCUAAGAAAUUCCUUGAGAAUUGUACAACACUUGGUUGCUGGUGGAGCCUGCAAGCCAUAAAAACCUGCAGUUAAUGAUAA